This 53-nucleotide transfer RNA is filed under the name uncultured eukaryote. Its description in RNAcentral is "partial Selenocysteine transfer RNA". The record is from RNAcentral.
GUGAAAGUCACGGACUUCAAAACCGACGAUGGUGCCCAGAGACAUAGGUUCAA